GACGAACGCUGGCGGCGUGCCUAAUACAUGCAAGUAGAACGCACAGUUUAUACCGUAGCUUGCUACACCAUAGACUGUGAGUUGCGAACGGGUGAGUAACGCGUAGGUAACCUGCCUGGUAGCGGGGGAUAACUAUUGGAAACGAUAGCUAAUACCGCAUAAUAUUGAUUAUUGCAUGAUAAUUGAUUGAAAGAUGCUAUUGCAUCACUACCAGAUGGACCUGCGUUGUAUUAGCUAGUAGGUGAGGUAACGGCUCACCUAGGCGACGAUACAUAGCCGACCUGAGAGGAUGAUCGGCCACACUGGGACGGAGACACGGCCCAUACGCCUACGGGAGGCAGCAGUAGGGAAUCUUCGGCAAUGGACGAAAGUCUGACCGAGCAACGCCGAGGGAGUGAAGAAGGUUUUCGGAUCGGAAAGCUCUGUUGUAAGGGAAGAACGGGUGUGAGAGUGGAAAGUUCACACUGUGACGGUAUCUUACCAGAAAGGGACGGCUAACUACGUG
This 505-nucleotide ribosomal RNA is filed under the name uncultured bacterium. Its description in RNAcentral is "partial 16S ribosomal RNA". It matches the Rfam family "Bacterial small subunit ribosomal RNA", at positions 28 to 507 of the family's 1533-position model. The record is from RNAcentral.